Non-coding RNA from Phalacrocorax carbo (great cormorant), 1038 nucleotides. The record is from RefSeq and is a predicted model, not a curated record. NCBI's taxonomy places the organism in Eukaryota, Metazoa, Chordata, Aves, Suliformes, Phalacrocoracidae.
GCCGGGCCCCUCCCCGCCGCGCCGCGCCGCGCCGCGCGCAGCACCGACCUCGGCCGCCGCCCGCGCCGGAAGGGCGGAGCGCCCGGCAGGGCCCCGCUAGGGCUGCCCGUGGCGUUCGCCUGACCCGCGCCGGCGCGCUCGGGCGGGACCCGGCGGGCGGGACUCGGCGGCCCGCUGCGCGGAAGGACCCCGCCCGGAAGCGGGCGCGCCGCCGCGGGCGCCGCGGCUCCGGGGAGGGGCUCAGCCCAGGGAAGGGGGGCGGCGGCGCUGCCCUCGGAAAUGAGCCCUUUCCUUCCUAAGUAACGCUCGUACUUCGACUGCGCCGGUAGCGGUAUCCUGAAGAAGACGGAAUGUGGGGAAUGUUCCGUAAGCCCUAAGAGCGAACUCCGUGAGCCCGGCACACAGACUUUGGCGGCCGGAGUCGGGAACUGAGAGACAGGGAAGCCCUUCUUCUACGACUCUAGCCCUGAGGAGAGCUGAGACACUGAUGGAAGCAAACGUCCCGGCGCAGAAGCCGCCGAGAACGGGGCGAUAAAGUGUAUGGUCAAGGAGAACAACUGAUUGGGAUGCUGACAAGAACUAAAGCAAAGUGCCCUGUACGGGAGCUCCCCUCGAUACAGCAGUAAAAACCAGGCCCAUAGGCCGGCAACCGCCCCCUCCCUCUAGUAAAUAAGACGGCGGUUUACAGCCAUGAAGCACUCUCUGAGCCAUGUAGACGUCACACCUGGUGACAGGAUUUGUACCGUCCAGCACUAUAUUCGGAGGGUGGGUGACGGGGUCCGUAGUGAAGCAGGGGCGUUUUGGUGCGUAGCUGUACAUAAUCUCACAGAGGGUUCAGUUGGGAAGGGACCUCUGGAGGUCACCCAGUGCAUGCCCCCUGCUCAAGCAGGGCCACCCAGAGCCCACGUCCCAGGCCCGUGUCCAGUUGGGUUUUGACUGUCUCCAAGGAUGGAGACUCCACAACCUCUCUGGGCAGCCUGUGCCAGUGUUUGACCCACCCUCAGAGUAAAGAAUAAAAAACCCAAAACAAACCAGAAA